CAUUGCUUUAAAGAACUACAUCUGAAGAGCAAUGUUUAGCUCUUUAUUUAUUAUUGUAUUUUAUUUAUCUAAAGACCAAUAUGUUGCUUCCUACUGAUAACGUCAGAUGAAUAUCAUCAUGAAGUUAAAUGAGCUUCUUCAACAGUGAGCCCUGUGGAAUAGACGCACCUUUCCUUCAAGUGUGACCAUUUGAGACGGAACAGACCAGAGGAUUUUCCAUCCCAUUACUAGAAUAUGUUUCUGUGACAAAGUUCUAGCAAGUUUUAGUCCAUAAUCCAUUUCAAGGGAAAUUCUCAUUUCUGUUUUUUUUUCAGUUAUGUCUUUUAACUUAUGUUUUCUGGAUCUUAUUCCAUUUGAGUGAAAUAUGAAUAGAUGAAGAGAUGUGGUAUCAGAGCUCAUUAAACAAAACUUUUCUGGUAACAUGCUUCAUCCUAUCUAGUUAUUUGAAUUAAGUUAAGCUUAAAGGAAAAGAACAAAACAAAGCUAUAAAGAAAAUUGGAAGUUAUUCAUUGUCAUUCGUCAUGAACAAGCUCAGAGGCUGGGAUAUUUGGCAUGAUGACAAUGAAACUGCAGGAAAUUGAGCACACUCCAAUGUUGGUGAGGACGGUCCAUCCAUUCUGCAUAUGUCUGCAUCUUUGGGACUUAGAGUCUGGCAAGUGGAAGAGGGAUUUCAUCUUGUUGGAAAAUAUAAGUUGGAAAAUCAACCUACAUGAAAUUGCAGAAGCCAAGGGGGUCUCACUCUCUCAUCCAGGCUGGAGCAUGGGGGUACAAUCAUAGCUCACCACAACCUUGAACUCCUGGGCUCAAAGGAUCCUUCCAGUUCAUCCUCUUGAGUAGCUCGGAUUACAGGCAUACACCACCGCGCCUGGCUAAGUUCUCAAUCUUGAAAGAUUGAAUUAGUUCUCAUGGGAGUGAAUUAGUUCCUGUGGUACUGGGUUGUUAUAAAGCCAGGAUGCCCUUAGGUUUUCUUCUCUUCUCACAUGUCUACUUUCCCAUUGCCCUUCUCGGCCACGUUGUGAUGUGGCAUGAAAGUCCUGUCCAGAAGCCAGGACCAUGCCCUCGAACUUCUCAGUCUGUGGAACAAUGAGCUAAAUAAACUUCCUUUAAAAUAAAUUUUUAGGUAUUCUGCUUUAAGCAACACAAAAGGUACUAAUACAGCAUUGUUUUAAAUUUGUACAAAUUUCUUUAUUGUGUGGCUUAAUAGAAAGCUAGAUGCUUAGGUUUGCUUCUCUAAACAUUCUGUUAUAAUCUUACACAUUAAACUCUGGAAAACUCUGUUGUACACUUGUGAGAGAAUGAGAGUGAAAUAGAGAAAUUAGCAUCUUGGUUUAUUAUAAAAAUAGUUUGGAUCUUUUGAAACCUUUAAAGACUCUUAGGAAACCCUGUGGUUCUCUGGCCAUGCUUUGAGAACGACUGCUAUAGGAUAAAUCCACUGCCAAGUUAAUCUUUUGUUAUGCUAUAUGUUUUAGCUUGUUUUCAUUUACUACUCUCUGAAGUUGAGCUUCAGCAAUUCAACAUACUGAUUAUGAUUUUCGCUUUUUUUUUUUUUUUUUUUUUUGGGACAAAGUUUUGCUCUUGUUGCCCAGGCUGGAGUGCAGUGGUGUGAUCUCGGCUCACUGCCAAUCUCCGCCUCCCGGAUUCAAGUGAUUCUCCUGCCUCAGCCUCCUGAGUAGCUGGGAUUACAGGCACAUGCCACCACGCCUGGCUAAUUUUUGUAUUUUUGGUAGAGACAGGGUAUCACCAUGUUGGCCAGAUGGUAUCGAACUCCUUACUUCAGGUGACCUGCCCACCUCGACCUCCCAAAGUGCUGGGAUUACAGAUGUGAGCCACCGCGCCUGGUUGAUUAUGAUUUUCAAAUACUAGGUGACUCCUUCUUAGCAUUGGUAUAUUUUAUGUAUAUUAAAUGUCCAUGAAUUUAAAAAAAUUUAAAUGAAAGCACGUGACAGUUUCAAGUACUCCAACACUUGAGAAGCUACAAUAUGGUGUACAGUGCACACAAGGUGAUUUGAGCAUCAGAUAAAUUGAGACAGACAGAUAGAAAGUGUUAGGUGUAUAUGUAACUAUAGGCAUCUAUGUUUGGCUUAAUAAAAACACAAUGUUUCUUA
Molecule: long non-coding RNA, 2105 nt
Organism: Symphalangus syndactylus (siamang)
Lineage: Eukaryota; Metazoa; Chordata; Mammalia; Primates; Hylobatidae
Source: RefSeq, a predicted model, not a curated record